UCCUGGCUCAGGAUGAACGCUGGCGGUCUGCUUAACACAUGCAAGUCGAACGGAGUACUUCGGUACUUAGUGGCGGACGGGUGAGUAACGCGUGAGAAUCUGCCCUUAGGAGGGGGACAACAGUUGGAAACGACUGCUAAUACCCCAUAUGCCGAGAGGUGAAACAUUAAUGGCCUGAGGAGGAGCUCGCGUCUGAUUAGCUAGUUGGUGGGGUAACGGCCUACCAAGGCGACGAUCAGUAGCUGGUCUGAGAGGAUGAUCAGCCACACUGGGACUGAGACACGGCCCAGACUCCUACGGGAGGCAGCAGUGGGGAAUUUUCCGCAAUGGGCGAAAGCCUGACGGAGCAAGACCGCGUGAGGGAGGAAGGUCUGUGGAUUGUAAACCUCUUUUCUCAGGGAAGAAGAACUGACGGUACCUGAGGAAUCAGCAUCGGCUAACUCCGUGCCAGCAGCCGCGGUAAUACGGAGGAUGCAAGCGUUAUCCGGAAUUAUUGGGCGUAAAGCGUCCGUAGGUGGCUAAGCAAGUCUGCUGUUAAAGAGCGGAGCUAAACUCCGUAAAGGCGGUGGAAACUGCAUAGCUAGAGUGUGGUAGGGGUAGAGGGAAUUCCCAGUGUAGCGGUGAAAUGCGUAGAUAUUGGGAAGAACACCGGUGGCGAAGGCGCUCUACUGGGCCACAACUGACACUGAUGGACGAAAGCUAGGGGAGCGAAAGGGAUUAGAUACCCCUGUAGUCCAGCCUAACAUAACAC
Molecule: ribosomal RNA, 751 nt
Filed under: Oscillatoria sp. LEGE 06018
Lineage: Bacteria; Bacillati; Cyanobacteriota; Cyanophyceae; Oscillatoriales; Oscillatoriaceae
Description: bacterial SSU rRNA
Rfam family: Bacterial small subunit ribosomal RNA
Source: RNAcentral